This 498-nucleotide ribosomal RNA is filed under the name uncultured marine bacterium. Its description in RNAcentral is "bacterial SSU rRNA". It matches the Rfam family "Bacterial small subunit ribosomal RNA", at positions 49 to 526 of the family's 1533-position model. The record is from RNAcentral.
UAACACAUGCAAGUCGAGCGGAAACGACAACAUUGACCCUUCGGGUGAUUUGUUGGGCGUCGAGCGGCGGACGGGUGAGUAAUGCCUGGGAAAUUGCCCUGAUGUGGGGGAUAACCAUUGGAAACGAUGGCUAAUACCGCAUAANGUCUACGGACCAAAGAGGGGGACCUUCGGGCCUCUCGCUUCAGGAUAUGCCCAGGUGGGAUUAGCUAGUUGGUGAGGUAAUGGCUCACCAAGGCGCCGAUCCCUAGCUGGUCUGAGAGGAUGAUCAGCCACACUGGAACUGAGACACGGUCCAGACUCCUACGGGAGGCAGCAGUGGGGAAUAUUGCACAAUGGGCGCAAGCCUAAUGCAGCCAUGCCGCGUGUAUGAAGAAGGCCUUCGGGUUGUAAAGUACUUUCAGUCGUGAGGAAGGCGUUGAAGUUAAUAGCUUCAUCGUUUGACGUUAGCGACAGAAGAAGCACCGGCUAACUCCGUGCCAGCAGCCGCGGUAAUAC